RNAcentral lists this long non-coding RNA (1380 nucleotides) under Anser cygnoides (Swan goose). RNAcentral describes it as "lncRNA (ENSACDG00005001292.1)". The record is from RNAcentral. Lineage: Eukaryota; Metazoa; Chordata; Aves; Anseriformes; Anatidae.
AUGACAACUUUGCAAAGACUGCUGCUUUCGUGUGCCGUUCGGGCUUUUUAUUCCCUCCCGUCUCCCCGAGGGCUGGCAUGUCGGCGAGGAUUUGGCGGAGGGGUUAACAGCCGCCCUGCGUUUCAGAGCUCGGAGCUUUGUCACUGCGUAGUUCGCCAAGUGGGGAGCGGUGACGCAGUGAUCAUUGCAGGGCACGCCGGGCGGCUUUUCAAAGCACCGGGGGGACAGGUACGCGCUGCCUUCCAGACGCUUCCACGCCAGCUGAAAGGGGUUAAGGAUGAGUCGAGACGGGAAGCCAGCGUUUGGGGAUUAAAUGUCAUCAUUUUGGCGUUGGGAAGUUGUUUACCUUGCUCUCGCCGUGUCUCCGUGCUGGCAGCCGGCCAGCUCCCAUGUGAUAGUCUUCCCUGUACUGCUGCAUCAUUAACCGGGGGCCGGGGCCGGCUCCCCAUUGGCCGGGGGAGGGCUCUCGGCCCCAAGGCGCCGCGCCAUUGGCGGAGGAGGCGCUGGCAGGUGAAAAGCCCUCGCGGAUUGGCCGAGGGCUGGGUGUCAAAUCUGAAUGUUGGCUGCGCUCGCCGCGAGCGCUGCUGCCGGCCGCCGGCUGCGGGUAGGGUGCGGGUAGGGGUAGGGGUGCGGGUAGGGGUGCGGGUAAUAGGUCCAGGUAUGGGUAAAGGUGUGGGUAUGGGUGCGGGUAUAGGUGCAGGUAUGGGUCUGGGUACGGGUGCGGGUAUGGGCACUGGUAUAGGUGCGGGUAUAGGUAUGGGUACGGGUACGGGUAUAGGUCCGGGUACAGCUGCGGGUAUAGGUGCGGGUACAGGUGCAGGUAUAGGUGCGGGUAUAGGUCCAGGUGCGGGUAUAGGUGCGGGUAUGCGUGCAGGUAUGGGGCCGGGCAUGGAGCCCUGCCCGCCCACACGACCCGUGUCACCCCGUGCCGGUGCCGGUGCGGUUUCACUUUGCUGCGCGGCUGUGGCGAUGACGUGUCAGAGCUGCCAAGCUCGGCCAGGGGAACUCGCUCGGGUUUGGGGCUUUUUUUUUCCUCCUUUCUCUCCUGCUUUCUCUCUUCUGUCGGUGGUAGUUGAGUGUUGGUCACACCGUGAGCCGCUCGGGGCAGGGACCGAAUGUGGCAAUCGCGUGGCGGGAUUAAUGAAGCGGAAAAGGCUCCUGCCCGAACGCCGACAUGCCGCCCGGGCGAGAGUUUGUCGGUGUGGGCGAGGCGAGGGAGCGCUGCCGGCGGCCCUGAGCCGGGGCUCCGCAAGGUCUGCAAAAGGAAACCAGAGCGUUAGGAGGCAAAAAGGCAGGCAUAAAGGAGGACUGGGACAGGCUGGGGAAGGAGGGAUAGGAGACCGCGGACAGACAGCGGCUCCGGAAAGGAUGAGGAAAUGA